This 497-nucleotide ribosomal RNA is filed under the name uncultured bacterium. RNAcentral describes it as "partial 16S ribosomal RNA". It matches the Rfam family "Bacterial small subunit ribosomal RNA", at positions 28 to 507 of the family's 1533-position model. The record is from RNAcentral.
GAUGAACGCUGGCGGCGUGCCUAAUACAUGCAAGUCGAGCGAACAGAUGAGGAGCUUGCUCCUCUGACGUUAGCGGCGGACGGGUGAGUAACACGUGGAUAACCUACCUAUAAGACUGGGAGAACUUCGGGAAACCGGAGCUAAUACCGGAUAAUAUAUUGAACCGCAUGGUUCAAUAGUGAAAGACGGUUUUGCUGUCACUUAGAGAUGGAUCCGCGCCGCAUUAGCUAGUUGGUAAGGUAACGGCUUACCAAGGCAACGAUGCGUAGCCGACCUGAGAGGGUGAUCGCCCACACUGGAACUGAGACACGGUCCAGACUCCUACGGGAGGCAGCAGUAGGGAAUCUUCCGCAAUGGGCGAAAGCCUGCCGGAGCAACGCCGCGUGAGUGAUGAAGGUCUUCGGAUCGUAAAACUCUGUUAUUAGGGAAGAACAAAUGUGUAAGUAACUAUGCACGUCUUGACGGUACCUAAUCAGAAAGCCACGGCUAACUACGUG